GCAAAGUGAUGUUGUCCAGAGUGGUCAAUAUUGUUUUUGUUUUUCAUUUUUCUCUACCCGGAAGUGGCUUUAAACAUGUCAGCUCCUCCGGAAGUGGAGAAGAACGCCCGGUUGUCGCAUUGAAGAGCACCUUGUGUGCUUCUGGGGCUGCAUUUUCAGAGUGCUACUGACUACCUGCAGUGCAGGGCACCUGGGGCCAGGGCAGCUGAGGGUAUCUGUUCUCUCCUCUUCCCUUUGGGGGAAAUCAGCAGAGCACAGCUUUGACUGGGCUGAAAGAGCACUGAAUCCAGGAAAGACCAUCUGAAUGAAAGUCCGACUCUGCCUGACACAAGUGCCCUUCCUUGGACAGCCCUAUUGGCUCUUCCACAACGAGGAGUUCCCGUGGCUCAAGUAACAAUUUCACGGAUUCGAGGAAGAUGAUCACAAGAGAGAAAGUUUCUUUCUGGAGCACUUGCCUGGGAAAUGAGAACAAGCCAUCUGUUUGUGCCCAUUUCCUGCCAGAGGGAUGGCGCCCAGGUAUGGAAGAUCAAAGCCCAACUGUGUGAGGAAGUAAAGACAGCUGUUAUCAAACAGCCUCCAAGAUGAGCAGACUACAUUCCAACUAUUGCCAUUUCCUGGAUCUCUACCUUAAUUCCUGCCAAGUCUGUCCAUAACAAUACCCAGACACAAGGACUUUUUCCCUAUUUAUAUUCAAAGCUACAGUAAAGUGAAGGUGUUUUCCAACAAAAACAAACACCAAAACACCCAUGAACACCUUCUUUUUCAUUUUUGUUCAUGGUUAAUUUCUACAAAAUAAUGCUCAAGACAGCAUUACGUCUCCCCCUCCUGUGUAAAUGGCAUGUUUGACAGCAUAAACUUUUAAAGCCCUUUCUGAACUUGAUUCUCAAAAAUGCUGUGUUGGUCAUUGGAAUAGAAACUUACUAAUUUUCCCCCAUCAGAAAGGAUUAGGUAGUUUCAUUUGAAUAAAAUAGUGCUGAGUCUCAUCGGAUAUAGACCCAUCUCCUUUGAGCUUCUAUUCCGAAAGCUGUUUUCAACCUCUAGGAAAUUCAUGUUCAGGUCACUUUUAGGGGCUAUAACAAGGAGAAUGAGUCUUGAUGAUUUCUCUGCUUGAGUAUGACAACCUCCCCUUUUAGCGUUAGGAUUUAAGAGACAAGAGAAUGGCAGUAUCACCAUAUAUAUUACUGACUAAACAAAGAAGGUGAAUUUGUAGCUGAAGGACUACUUUCAGGUUUCUAAAUGGAGGCAGGAGAAUUUUUAUUUUCUGCUAUGCACUGCCUCAACAACUGUAUCGCUCUCCCUUCCCUGCAUGAACUCAGACCGACACAAACUUAUUUCUCAUUUGUGCUUUUCCAGGCAAUUAUUAUUGUUGCAUAUAAAAUGAAUGUUAAACAUGUUUUCCUUUGCCUAUAAUCUGUCCCUCAUGAAAAAAAAAAGAUGUAUGUGUCUUUAAUGCUACUGAAAAAAUGCCACUAAAUGUCUUUUUGGUAGUUCCUCUCUGUCAAUUAAAAUCUCGACUUCGGGAAGCUGAGUUUGCAGUGAUCAUUUUAGAGAAGGCAAUUCUGAAUUUAGCUCAGAACUGCACACAAGAGAAUGGAUUGGGUGAGCCCUAGGAAAUGAUUUAGAAAAAUCUUUUUUUUUUUCAAUUAAAAAAAGUGUGGCAGUACUAGAGGCCAAAGAUGCAC
Long non-coding RNA from Equus caballus (horse), 1682 nucleotides. Lineage: Eukaryota; Metazoa; Chordata; Mammalia; Perissodactyla; Equidae. The record is from Ensembl.